GAUUAAGUUAUUAAGGGCGCACGGUGGAUGCCUUGGCACUAGAAGCCGAUGAAGGACGUUACUAACGACGAUAUGCUUUGGGGAGCUGUAAGUAAGCUUUGAUCCAGAGAUUUCCGAAUGGGGAAACCCAGCAUGAGUUAUGUCAUGUUAUCGAUAUGUGAAUACAUAGCAUAUCAGAAGGCACACCCGGAGAACUGAAACAUCUUAGUACCCGGAGGAAGAGAAAGAAAAUUCGAUUCCCUUAGUAGCGGCGAGCGAAACGGGAAGAGCCCAAACCAACAAGCUUGCUUGUUGGGGUUGUAGGACACUCUAUACGGAGUUACAAAGGACGACAUUAGACGAAUCAUCUGGAAAGAUGAAUCAAAGAAGGUAAUAAUCCUGUAGUCGAAAAUGUUGUCUCUCUUGAGUGGAUCCUGAGUACGACGGAGCACGUGAAAUUCCGUCGGAAUCUGGGAGGACCAUCUCCUAAGGCUAAAUACUCUCUAGUGACCGAUAGUGAACCAGUACCGUGA
This 512-nucleotide ribosomal RNA is filed under the name Staphylococcus aureus. RNAcentral describes it as "partial 23S ribosomal RNA". It matches the Rfam family "Bacterial large subunit ribosomal RNA", at positions 1 to 506 of the family's 2925-position model. The record is from RNAcentral. Lineage: Bacteria; Bacillati; Bacillota; Bacilli; Caryophanales; Staphylococcaceae.